UUACGGCCACAUCACAUUGAAACACUGGUUCCUGUAUGAUCACUGAAGUUAAGCAAUGUUGAGCCUGGUCAAUACCUAGAUGAGUGACUGCUUGGGAAUACUAGGUGCUGUAUG
RNAcentral lists this ribosomal RNA (114 nucleotides) under Acanthosepion pharaonis. The record is from RNAcentral. Lineage: Eukaryota; Metazoa; Mollusca; Cephalopoda; Sepiida; Sepiidae.